Molecule: unclassified non-coding RNA, 6014 nt
Filed under: Penaeus chinensis
Lineage: Eukaryota; Metazoa; Arthropoda; Malacostraca; Decapoda; Penaeidae
Description: condensin complex subunit 1-like, transcript variant X3
Source: RNAcentral
CGUCGUUGAUUAGAGGCGUCAAUAAGGCUGGGAAGUGUAUUUACGGCGGGGAUUUCGGGAUUUGAAGUCCUGGGCGGGAGGCCUCGACUUGACACAUCAAAGCCAUGGAUUUUCUGGUUAAUAAACUGCGCGAAAAAUCCUCCCAAAGUGACAGUUCGGAGGAGAAGGCGACGGCAAGGUUGCGAAUUCGUCGGUGUGCUUGGAAAAAGGGUUAAUUGUGCGUGGAAAAGGGAAUUGUAGUCGUGCCACUCCCAUCGUCGUAUCGAUACAUAUAUAGGUUGUAAUGAUGGAUACCUUCGACUUCGUAAUCCCCCUGAGCCUUGACGCCCUGCAGGAGUCGACCAGCACGCGGCAGUACGUCGUGUAUAACAUCUCCACAAGCAAGGAGAUCCCCAAAAAGAUUCAGGAAGCACAAGUGGCCUUCCGUCAAGAUGGCCCGCAUUUCAUCAUCAAGGCACAGAACUUUGACGUGCUGUAUAGUGUCCUGGUUAGCUUUGGCAGCGUGGAUGGAGAGUUUCGGCAGCGCUCGUGGGAGCUCCUCCUUAAAGCGAUGUCCAAGGUAACGGCUGAAUUGGCACUGCUUCUGGACGAGGGGGACCUGAGCGCCAAGGAACGACAUCAAUGGCUCAAUGUCCUCAAGAUGACCACGUACAUUGCCUGCAACCUCACUGAAUCCUUCGAGAAUGAGUACAACAAACCCUCCACUGACACCCUGGUUUUAGGGAAGCAGGGAAGGAAGAAGUCGGCAAGGAAGUCCGAUGACGGGACGGACUGGGAGGAGGAGAGGAACCGCAUGCUGGUCCAGCUGUUCUCUGUCCUGCAGCACCCUUUGCACCGCCUGUGGGAGCCACCCAUUAUGGAGGAGGAUUUUGUCAACCUCAUAGCCAACUGUUGCUACAAGAUUCUGGAGUCCCCCACCAUGAACUUGGCAAGGACCAAGUCGACACGAGACUCAAUAUUCCAGAUCAUCGGCACACUCGUCAAGAAGUUCAACCAUGGUCUUGCUUGUUCACUAAAGCUCAUGCAGCUGUUGCAGCACUUUGAGCACAUGGUUGUCCCGUGUGCCCAGGGUGUGAUCCUUCUGAUCGAGUCCUUUGGCAACACCACAGUCGUGUCAGAGAUGGUGAGGGAGAUCGCGAAGGUGGACGCACGAGAGCUCAUGAAGGAUACUUCGGGCUUGCGUAACUUCUCCCAGUUCCUGGUGGAGGUAUCGGAGAAGUGCCCCCAGGUCAUGCUGCCCUCACUCAGCCUGCUCGUUAACUUCCUGCAUGAGGAGGCAUCGGGCAUGAGGAAUUGCGUGCUGUCCAUCCUGGGUUCCAUUGUGUUGAGGGUCCUGAGCAGUGAGCAGCUGGACCCUAAGAGCCGAGACCUGCGCGACCAGUGUCUCGACCACCUCGAGGACCACAUCCACGACAUUCAUGCCUUUGUGCGCAGUAAAGUCUUACACAUCUGGAACGGCCUUGUGAGUGAAAAGGCUGUACCCCUGCGCAGACAGCAGCAGGUCCUGAAGCUCACCCUAGGGCGCCUGAAGGACAAGUCAUCGCAUGUGAGGAAGAGCGCAGUUCAGUUGCUGACUGCUUUCCUGAAGGGCAACCCAUUUGCAGCAAAGCUCCCCCUGGAAGAACUGGAAGGCCAACAUGAAGAAGAGCUCAAGAAACUAAAGGAAAUGGACCCUAAGGCUGCUUUGGACUUGUCAGCAGAAGAGGAAAAUAAACCGCAGGUAGAAAAGACCGUCACUGGAAGGGAGCUGUGGGCUGCCAUGUUGCCUGAGGUGGUCGCCAUUGUUUUGGAAGUUGUUGAUGAAGGUGGCACUGAGGACGAUGAUGAUGAUGAAGACUCCUUAGAGGAAGAUGCCUCACUAAAUGAUGCAGUUUUGGAGAUUGCAGAGGCUUUGAACUCCAGCAAGAUCAGAAGAGCUGUCAAACUGCUGGAGUGCGCCCUAGAAAUGUUUCACGGGGCUGAAGUGUUUGGCUAUGAUCCCGAGAUCCAUUCCUCCAAAGCGUACAAAAAGCUGAGCAAGGAUGAGGAGCUGACGGACCACCAGAUCCGCCACCUGGUCGUGCUGGAGCGCAUCUUCCUGUCUGCCAAGGAGAUGGAGGAGAGCAAAAACAGGCCAGCUGAGGAGGAGAAGAUGGAUGAGGACAAGAAGCCUGAGGAGGAGGGGGAGGAGGAGAAAGAGGAGACGGAGGAAAUGAGGGCAGAGAAGGAGGCCCAGGCAGAGGUGACCAAGCAGAAGCUCUUGGUCAACUACUUGAAGGAUUCUGUUUGUUUUGCUAAACUGUUCAACAAAGGCUUGCCAGUUCUCUGCCAGCUGCUGAGCAGCAAACAUGUAUCAGAUGUGUUAGAAGCAGUACAAUUCUUCGUAACAGCCUUUGAGUUUGGCCUUCUUAAUGCCAUGACCGGUGUGCGUCGCAUGUUGGCCCUGGUGUGGAGCAAGGAGCAGGCUGUCAAGGACGCAGUUAUUGGGGCUUAUCAGCGCCUGUACAUUAACAUUGAAGCUCCAAAUGAAAGGGCCCGUGCUCAACACAUUGUAAGGAACCUCUCAGCCCUUAUUACCGGUGCAACCCUAGGCGAGAGGACAUCCAUGGAGGAAAUUAUAGCACAGUUUGUGAAUUCCGGUGACAUUACUAAGCAGUGCCUAACCUUGCUUUGGGAACGCUUCACCAAGACCCUGCCUGACACCACAGAUGAUGAGUCACUGGCAGGACUCGUUCUCCUCGCCAUGUGUGCCAACUCAGAAGCGCACAUUGUCUCGAGCAACAUUGGGGUCCUGGUGAACUCUGGCCUGGGCGAGAGAGGCCUGCACAACUUCACUCUUGUCAAGGAGACCUGCACUGCCUUGUUGAAGCUAUCCCCAGCCAAGCCAAAAACGGAUGACCCAAAUCCACCCAACAGGUUUAACCGAGACCACGAGAUCUUCGAGCGCCUUACCAAGAUCUUGCUGGAAGGUCUGAACAUCCUCGAAGAUCGUCAGUAUUCUCCCAUGGCUGUUGAGGCCGUUAGUCUGAUUUAUUCGUUGGCAGAACAUCCUGACCUCAUCUGCGGAGAGAUUCUUCAAGAGAUGAGCAAGAUCAUGCUUUCACAUCACACAGAAGCAGCAGACUCAGCAAGUGAUGGCUCUCAGCCAGAGACUGAAGAUAUCAAGGUCCCCGUAGGCAUCCUGACACGAUUCUUCGUGUUUGUGGGCCAAGUGGCUCUGCGUCAGCUGAUUCACCUCGACACCUAUGUGUUCUCUGAGCUGAAGCGCAGAAAUUACCUCAAAGAGGAGAUGGAAACAGAGAAGAAAAAGAAAAAGAAGAAAAGGAACAUAAGGAAAUCACUAGCCACCUCUGCUACUGAGGCUUCCAUGAUCAGAGGGGGAUCCCAAGAUGGAGACAUGGACGAGGAGAUGGGCCUGACUGGGGCAGUGGCAGACGACAUGGAGGCAGAGUACAUCCGCUCCAUCUGCGAGACAGAGAUCGUUAAAGCUGACAACCUCCUCGCUCUUGUCAAGCCAGUUAUUUUGGCUGUAUGCACCAACCCGGCAAAGUACGCAGAUGCAGAGCUACGGACGGCUUCAACCCUAGCCCUGGCCAAGUUCAUGAUGAUAUCUUCAGACUUAUGCGAAGAUAAUCUGCAGCUCCUGUUCACCAUCUUGGAGAAGUCCGAAGAUCAUGCGAUACGUGCCAACAUAGUCAUUGCCCUGGGAGACUUGUCCUUCCGGUUCCCGAACCAGCUAGAGCCUUGGACCCCACGAAUCUAUGCCAGAUUAAGAGACGGUUCCCCGAAAGUGCGACAGAACACCCUGACAAUCCUCACCCAUCUCAUCCUUAAUGAUAUGGUCAAGGUUAAAGGACAGAUAUCUGACAUUGCUCUCUGCAUCACCGAUGACGAUCCACGGAUAUCAGGUUUGGCAAAACUUUUCUUCAGUGAGCUUGCCAGGAAGGGCAAUGCCUUGUAUAACGUUCUCCCCGACAUCAUCUCGCGCUUGUCUGACACGGAACUAGGAAUUGAAGAGAAACGCUACAGAACAAUCAUUGGGCACAUACUGAACUUGGUACAAAAGGACAAACAGCUGGAAACAUUAGUGGAGAAGCUUUGCCAUCGAUUCCAAGCAACCGUCACCACAAGACAGUGGAGAGACAUUUCCUACUGCCUGUCACUGUUCUCAUACAAUGAGAAGAGCAUCAGAAAGCUCAGCGAGAACUUCUCGUGCUAUGCUGACAAGCUCUUCGAGCCAGAAGUGUACGAGUUCUUCCUGGGCAUCCUUGCCAGUGCCCGCAAACUGGUCAAGCCAGAGAUGAAAGUCCUGAUCGAGGAGUUGGAGAGUAGGAUGCAGGAGAGCCACGAGAAGGGCGUGGAAGACGAGAAUGUCCUCAACAAAGCUGCCAGCGCCAAGACGAAGGCGAAGAAUGUGAAAAACUCAGAGAAAGGGGCCAAAGGCAGAAUAAGAGGCAGAAGACGCAAAGAGAGUUCCAGCGAAGAUGAAGAAAAAACUGAAGAGGAAGAGGAAGAGGACGAGGGGGAGGAGGAGGAAGAGGCAGAGGAAACUCGCUCACAGUUACACCCAGCUCACCGUCAGAAUAAGGAAAAUCAGAGAAUGACAAGACGAUCAGGCAACAUGGAGAAGCCGCACAAGAAGAAAGUCACCAUCAGCACCGACUCAGACGAAGACGACAGCAAGGUCUCGACUCCACCCAAGAGGAAGUCAGGGAGAAUGUCCCAUGUGAAGCCGCUCUCGGAAAACUCUUCCCGACUCUCGAGGUCCUCCAGACGGAAAUGAUGGGACUGAAGACAUAGAUGCUUGUUCUCUUUUAGGCUUUGGGGUUUUAGGAAAUUAUCGCAGAGAUUUUUAUUUUUCAAUUUACUUUUUUUAUCCCAGUCUGUAGGAAAUUAAUGGCUCUUCUCUAGGGACUUAAAACAGAAAGUACAAUGAUAUAUUUGGAGGAUUUUAAUAAGGUAUCAUUUUAGUCUGUGUAUUGCUUCUAAUAUUAGCCAGUAAGGUAUUGCAGCAAAAGAAUUAAGAUGGUGUUAUUAGUGAUCAGAAUUCUCAAGAUAUUCAUAAUAUGCUGUAUCAGCAAAACAUAAUGGGGAAAGUUCACAUUUUCUCUUUGUACAACAAUUAUAACAUGUAGUACAUGUACCCACCCAAAUGUGUGCUAUUCCAUAAGAUUAUUUUUUAAUUGAUUUUAACUUGAACAAAAGACUUAAGAAGGUAACAUGAAUAUACAAGUAUAUGGCUGAUUUCUUUUCAUUCAUAAAUAUGCUUCAUCUUGAGUGAAUGAACUGAUAAUAGUGUUCUUGACUUUGCUAUCCUUCAUAAAUACAUAUUUACAUAUAAUAUAAGAUAUUCUUUUAGGGAUAGUAAUAAUUCAUCUUUAAUAAUGGCAAUAUAUGGAAGGGUUUAGUAAGUAUUUUGUAAAAGUAACCUACUCAAUAAACUGUAUUUUCAAAAAUCAGUGGACACUUGUUUACACUAUUCAGCAUUUAUUAGGAUUUAGCUUAAUUUUAAUUAUUUUUUUAUUUUAUUUUUUUUUUAAUUUUUCUAAUUAUCAUUGCUUAUGUAACCCUUCCUUGAAUAUCCUGGUCAUCACACCAGUUGAUCUCCUUAGUUUUCUGCCUUGAACAAAGGGAUGUGUGUUUUUCUUUUCAUCCAUUGUAUUUACAGAAUCAGAGUCUAAGAGUCUAAACACGUGUCCAGAGGCAAGGGCAUGAUUAGUGUACAAGAGAUGCGAUAUCCAAGAUGGCCAAGCUAUCGACAAAACAAUAAAUUUCAAACUGCUAUUGUUUAGCUAGGAAUAUGUCCACUUUUGACAUCACAUCUGCAUGUCCACUGGUCAGGGCUGCUGAACUGGACAUGCCUGAACACUUAAUUUCUCCAUUGUGAUGGUAGAAAACUAUAAAAUAAUGUACUUGUCUUGUUAAGGCUUGCAUAUUCUGUUAUAAGAGGCAUAUAUUCAGAUAUAUGGGAAGGUCAUGUGAAAUUAGAUUUCCAGUAGCCAUAUUACCACUGUAAAUAAAAUGUGUAGUCUAAA